UGAGUGUCUGUGUGCAACCGCAGCCUGUCAGCUACACCCUGGCUCCCACCAGCCUUGGUUACAUUGCAGGUUGACCCCAACGCACAUCCAGUCCCAGAUGCAACCAGAUGGAGUUACUAUAAGUGAACUGCGCUGUUAACACUCAGUGGGAGUUGCCUUCCCAAAAGGAAUUAAUGUACAGCAGGAUGUAGUAAUGCUUUUCCCCCUCGUGUGCACAGUUGAGCCUUCCUCUGUAGAAUGAGUGGAGAGUGCUUGGAAAGGUGUAUUUGGUCUUGAAAAGUAAACAAGGAUGGCAGAGCAAUUUUCCUUGCAAUUAUUCACCUUGACAAUGCGGAUGCUGUGAAGAGGAGCCAUCUGUCCUCAGUAGGCCCGCCCCCGACCUGGUUGACAACAGCGGCAGCAGAUGCACAAGGCUUGUUAUUUCAGCUGCACAAGAAAGGGGUCCAGAAAGUGAUUAAGACAUGGCUGAAAAGAAGGGAAGUAUGUUUAAAAAAACCUUCCAGAAAGCAGAAGACCGAGCCACAACCUACUCAUAU
This is a long non-coding RNA of Mauremys mutica (yellowpond turtle), 536 nucleotides long. RefSeq lists it as uncharacterized. The record is from RefSeq and is a predicted model, not a curated record. The transcript has 3 exons. NCBI's taxonomy places the organism in Eukaryota, Metazoa, Chordata, Testudines, Geoemydidae.